RNAcentral lists this long non-coding RNA (356 nucleotides) under Gallus gallus (chicken). The record is from RNAcentral. Lineage: Eukaryota; Metazoa; Chordata; Aves; Galliformes; Phasianidae.
GAAGGUUAUCAGCAAGUUGCUAGUUUGUACAUCAGCAUCCAAAGGUAGCUCUGCAGAGCUUAUAACAUCCGAAGAAGGUGGGGUGGUUCCAAGCGGAGUGACAGGCGUUGUUGGAAUUGGACUUGCUGGCGUUGUCAUCAGCCCCAUUUCAGGAUGGCUUUGUGCCAGAACUGUAAUGAAGUUUCGGUUUAAGUGGACAGCUUCAUAGAGGGCCAGAAGGAUUGCUUCAUUAGUUUGGACUGAUAUCUUCUCAUCAGCAUCUGCUAUGAACAUGCUGCCCACCAUAUUAGUUAGGGCUGAAAAGAAACCACUCUGGUGCUCCUCUUCUUUAUCUUUGUAUUGCCUGUUGUACUCUG